AGGGUGUAAACGCUGCAGACUUGGUGUUGGGAACCCUUCGGGGGUGCUCAGUGCCGGAGAGAAGUUGUUAAGUCUGCUACUUGGGGAGUACGUCCGCAAGGAUGAAACUUAAAGGAAUUGGCGGGGGAGCACCGCAACGGGAGGAGCGUGCGGUUUAAUUGGAUUCAACGCCGAAAAACUCACCAGCAGCGACUGUUACAUGAAAGUCAGGUUGAUGACCUUGCCUGAAUCGCUGAGAGGUGGUGCAUGGCGUAGACGUCU
This 261-nucleotide ribosomal RNA is filed under the name uncultured archaeon. RNAcentral's name for it is "partial 16S ribosomal RNA". It matches the Rfam family "Archaeal small subunit ribosomal RNA", at positions 748 to 1009 of the family's 1478-position model. The record is from RNAcentral.